RNAcentral lists this long non-coding RNA (1245 nucleotides) under Salmo salar (Atlantic salmon). RNAcentral's name for it is "lncRNA (ENSSSAG00000098603.1)". The record is from RNAcentral. Lineage: Eukaryota; Metazoa; Chordata; Actinopteri; Salmoniformes; Salmonidae.
CUUUGAACCAAGUCAUGUAUUGGGCACGAUGCUUCUAUGAACCAGUCAUGUAUUGGGCACGAUGCUUCUAUCAACCAAGUCAUGUAUUGGGCACGAUGCUUCUAUCAACCAAGUCAUGUAUUGGGCACGAUGCUUCUAUCAACCAAGUCAUGUAUUGGGCACGAUGCUUCUUUGAACCAAGUCAUGUAUUGGGCACGAUGCUUCUAUGAACCAGUCAUGUAUUGGGCACGAUGCUUCUAUCAACCAAGUCAUGUAUUGGGCACGAUGCUUCUAUCAACCAAGUCAUGUAUUGGGCACGAUGCUUCUAUGAACCAAGUCAUGUAUUGGGCACGAUGCUUCUAUAUACCAAGUCAUGUAUUGGGCACGAAACAGAGGAGGUGAGCUGCUUCUCCCUGGACCUGUCUAAACAGAGGAGGUGAGCUGCUUCUCCCUGGGCCUGUCUAAACAGAGGAGGUGAGCUGCUUCUCCCUGGGCCUGUCUAAACAGAGGAGGUGAGCUGCUUCUCCCUGGGCCUGUCUAAACAGAGGAGGUGAGCUGCUUCUCCCUGGGCCUGUCUAAACAGAGGAGGUGAGCUGCUUCUCCCUGGGCCUGUCUAAACAGAGGAGGUGAGCUGCUUCUCCCUGGGCCUGUCUAAACAGAGGAGGUGAGCUGCUUCUCCCUGGGCCUGUUUACAGGAGCAAUAGUCAGUCCACCACCAAAAGGCUUAGCAGGAGGCUGCCUGUUUACAGGUACAGUAGUCAGUCCACCACCAAAAGGCUUAGCAGGAGGCUGCCUGUUUACAGGUACAGUAGUCAGUCCACCACCAAAAGGCUUGGCAGGAGGCUGCCUGUUUACAGGUACAGUAGUCAGUCCACCACCAAUAGGCUUGGCAGGAGGCUGCCUGUUUACAGGAACAGUAGUCAGUCCACCACCAAUAGGCUUGGCAGGAGGCUGCCUGUUUACAGGAACAGUAGUCAGUCCACCACCAAUAGGCUUGGCAGGAGGCUGCCUGUUUACAGGUGCAGUAGUCAGUCUACCACCAAAAGGCUUGGCAGGAGGCUGCCUGUUUACAGGUGCAGUAGUCAGUCCACCACCAAUAGGCUUGGCAGGAGGCUGCCUGUUUACAGGAACAGUAGUCAGUCCACUUGCUUUGGCAAUGUUAACAUAUGUUUCCCAUGCCAAUAAAGCCCCUUGAAUUGAAUUGAUAGGGAAUAAGAGAGUGACAGAGAGAGAGAGAGAUAAAUCAUUUGUGUGGUUAAACAUUUA